CGUCGAACGCCAGCCGCUUUCCUCGUCCAACGGACGCGGAUCGUCGGCAUGACGGGCGUUACGCAGGUUGAUGACGCCAUGCCGCGUGAAGACGUGGCCGUGGCGGCCGUUACGCGUCGGCAUCACGCGCAGUCGAACAUGUCUAUGCCCCGCGCGACCGCCUCCAGCAUAUCGUCCGGUGUCCCUACGCCCAUCAGGUAGCGCGGGCGCUCCUGUGGCAG
Molecule: unclassified non-coding RNA, 221 nt
Filed under: Hevea brasiliensis (rubber tree)
Lineage: Eukaryota; Viridiplantae; Streptophyta; Magnoliopsida; Malpighiales; Euphorbiaceae
Source: RNAcentral